This 1368-nucleotide ribosomal RNA is filed under the name uncultured bacterium. Its description in RNAcentral is "bacterial SSU rRNA". It matches the Rfam family "Bacterial small subunit ribosomal RNA", at positions 28 to 1381 of the family's 1533-position model. The record is from RNAcentral.
AAUGAACGCUGGCGGCUUGCUUUACACAUGCAAGCCGGACGGCACCACAAAGAACCUUCCUCCCUGGCUGGCGAGUGGCAACCGGGUGAAAAAUCUACCGGACCGCCCCAAGUAAUGGGGAAUAACUAAUCGAAAGAUUAGCUAACACCGCAUAUUCUCUGAAGAGGAAAGCAGGACACCUUCAGGCCUUGCGUUAUUCCAGCGGCCGAUAUCUGAUUAGCUAGUUGGUGGGGUAAAGGCCCACCAAGGCGACGACCAGUACCGGGCCUGAAAGGAUGAUCCGCCACAUUGGACACUGACACACCGCCCACACUCCUACGGGACGCAGCAGUGGGGCAUUGUGGACAAUGGACACCCGCCUGAUCCAUGCCUGACGCGUGUCUGAGGAAGGCCUUCGGCUUGUAAAGGACUUUUGUCAGGGAAGAAAAGGCUGUUGCUAAUAUCGACGGCUGACCACGGGACCUGAACAAUAAGCCCCCGCUAACUACGUGCCAGCAGCCGCGGAAAUACGUAGGGUGCGAGCGAUAAUCCGAAUUACUGGGCAUACAGCGAGCGCAGACGGUUACUCACCCCUGAUGUGCAAUCCCCCAGGCUCAACCUGCGAACUGCUAUCUGAACUGGAUGACUAUAAUGUGUCCAGAGCGCGGUAGAAUUCCACAUGUAGCGGUGAAAUGCCCAGAGAUGUGGAGGAACACCCGUGGCGAAGGCCACCUUCUGGUAUAAACCUGACCCUGAUGUCCCAAAGCGUGGGGAUCAAACCAGGAUUAAAUUCCCUGGGUUGUCCCCGCCUAAAGGGAAGGCAUAUAGCUUUGGGGCUUUCAACGCCUUAGUACUGCAGCUAACGCGUGAAACACUCCGCCUGGGGAGUACGCUCGCAAGUUUAAACUCAAAAGGAAUUGCCGGGGCCCACCCCAACGGGUGGACGAUGUGGAUUAACUAGACGACUCGAGAAGCCCUUCCCCAUCUCACGACAUGUUCGGCCCUUUACAGAGAGAGUUUUGCCCUUUCGGGGACACGUCGCACAGGUGUUGCAGGGCUUUCUCCAGCUCGUUUCGUGAAAUGUUGGGUAAAGUCCCGCACCGACCCCACCCUUAGUCAUCAUUCCCAUCCAUAAGGUUGGCCAUUUAAAUGAGACUCCCGGUGCCAACCCGGAGGAAGGGGGGGAUGAGGUCAAGUCUCCACCGCCCUUACGUCCAGGCCUCCCCCCGUCACCCAUUGGCAGUUCCAGAGGGAACGCAACCCGGAAGGCGGACACAUUCUCACAAAGCUCUAUUGUAGUCCGGAUUGUAUUCUGCACCUCGACUUCAUAAAGUCGGAAUCGCUAGUAAUCGCAGAUCAGCAUGCUGCGGUGAAUACGUUCCCGGGUCU